RNAcentral lists this unclassified non-coding RNA (263 nucleotides) under Hevea brasiliensis (rubber tree). The record is from RNAcentral. Lineage: Eukaryota; Viridiplantae; Streptophyta; Magnoliopsida; Malpighiales; Euphorbiaceae.
UUUGAGAUUUCCUUUGGUUUUUUCUUUGGUUAGAUUUGUGAGAUUGUUUUUGUGUGGUUUUGCAUUUUAUUUAAUGAUUUUGAAGCCCUUUUUUUUGGGGUGUAAUCAUGACCUAAAAUUGGUUGAAAAAAAAAAAGCGACUUCUUAUUUUAAAUUGGAAACUUUAUAAUGGCUGUCACCAUUUUAUUACAUAAGAGAUUGUGUCAAGUGGAGUUGAAAAUAGUGGUAGAUGAUAUUGAUUAGUUCUUGGUAAUAACAGCAGG